CCUACGGGAGGCAGCAGUGAGGAAUAUUGGUCAAUGGACGAGAGUCUGAACCAGCCAAGUAGCGUGAAGGAUGACUGCCCUAUGGGUUGUAACCUUCUUUUAUAUGGGAAUAAAAUGUUCCAUGUGUGGUAUUUUGUAUGUACCAUAUGACUAAGGAUCGGCUAACUCCGUGCCAGCAGCCGCGGUAAUACGGAGGAUGCGAGCGUUAUCCGGAUGUACUGGGUUUAAAGGGAGCGUAGGUGGAUUGUUAAGUCAGUUGUGAAAGUUUGCGGCUCAACCGUAAAAUUGCAGUUGAAACUGGCAGUCUUGAGUACAGUAGAGGUGAGCGGAAUUCGUGGUGUAGCGGUGAAAUGCUUAGAUAUAACGAAGAACACCGAUUGCGAAGGCAGCUCACUGGACUGCAACUGACACUGAGGCGCGAAAGUGUGGGUAUCAAACAGGAUUAGAUACCCGAGUAGUC
Molecule: ribosomal RNA, 460 nt
Filed under: uncultured bacterium
Lineage: Bacteria
Description: partial 16S ribosomal RNA
Rfam family: Bacterial small subunit ribosomal RNA
Source: RNAcentral